Molecule: ribosomal RNA, 495 nt
Filed under: uncultured bacterium
Lineage: Bacteria
Description: partial 16S ribosomal RNA
Rfam family: Bacterial small subunit ribosomal RNA
Source: RNAcentral
GAUGAACGCUGGCGGCGUGCCUAAUACAUGCAAGUAGAACGCUGAAGGAGGAGCUUGCUCUUCUGGAUGAGUUGCGAACGGGUGAGUAACGCGUAGGUAACCUGCCUGGUAGCGGGGGAUAACUAUUGGAAACGAUAGCUAAUACCGCAUGACAACAGUUAUUGCAUGAUAACUGUUUAAAAGGGGCAACUGCUCCACUACCAGAUGGACCUGCGUUGUAUUAGCUAGUUGGUGAGGUAACGGCUCACCAAGGCGACGAUACAUAGCCGACCUGAGAGGGUGAUCGGCCACACUGGGACUGAGACACGGCCCAGACGCCUACGGGAGGCAGCAGUAGGGAAUCUUCGGCAAUGGACGGAAGUCUGACCGAGCAACGCCGCGUGAGUGAAGAAGGGUUUCGGAUCGUAAAGCUCUGUUGUAAGAGAAGAACGAGUGUGAGAGUGGAAAGUUCACACUGUGACGGUAUCUUACCAGAAAGGGACGGCUAACUACGUG